Molecule: non-coding RNA, 479 nt
Organism: Ciona intestinalis (vase tunicate)
Lineage: Eukaryota; Metazoa; Chordata; Ascidiacea; Phlebobranchia; Cionidae
Source: RefSeq, a predicted model, not a curated record
UAUAUAUACAAAGAGAAAAAUGUAGCAGCUGUUAUAGAGUUCUUUUAACUGUAAUCUCAUUAUGAAGGUUGGUGUGUUAAUAGUGUUGUGCAUUCUGGCUUUUUGCUGUGCAGUCUCGUCAGGUGUCCAAUAUUUUACCUACACAGAUAGUGCAGGGAGAACAAGGACUUUCAUAUGCACACGAUACUGUAUGUUCAACUCAACCACCCGAAGGUGGAUUAUUCCCAUGGCUAACUGCGUGAAAAACAAAAACCUUGGAUGCCAAGUUUGUCGAAAAGCUGGUUAUUGUGGAAAUACUGGAUCGGUCUUGGACGUUGUACCGACACCAGCAAUCACAGUUGCGUAGAACGUCUUCUAAAUGCAUCUGUAGCAUAGAUAUACCUGUAUCUUUUAUUGUGAUGAACGCAAUGUCAUAUACACAGACACUUUCCCGUUGUGUGUUGAAUUCCGUAAUAAAAUUGUUUUGUGCGUGCACGUUA